CCUAGGGAGGCAGCAGUGAGGAAUAUUGGUCAAUGGGCGGAAGCCUGAACCAGCCAAGUCGCGUGAGGGAAUAAGGCCCUACGGGUCGUAAACCUCUUUUGCCGGGGAGCAAGGGCCGGGACGCGUCCCGGCCCGGAGAGUACCCGGAGAAAAAGCAUCGGCUAACUCCGUGCCAGCAGCCGCGGUAAUACGGAGGAUGCGAGCGUUAUCCGGAUUUAUUGGGUUUAAAGGGUGCGUAGGCGGAUCGUUAAGUCAGUGGUCAAAUUGAGGGGCUCAACCCCUUCCCGCCAUUGAAACUGGCGCUC
This 305-nucleotide ribosomal RNA is filed under the name uncultured bacterium. Its description in RNAcentral is "bacterial SSU rRNA". It matches the Rfam family "Bacterial small subunit ribosomal RNA", at positions 338 to 641 of the family's 1533-position model. The record is from RNAcentral.